UACGAGGGGGGCUAGUGUUGUUCGGAAUCACUGGGCGUAAAGGGAGCGUAGGCGGGUGUCUAAGUUGGGUGUUUAAUUCCGGGGCCCAACCCCGGGCGUGCACUCAAACUGGGCAUCUUGAAUAGGGGAGAGGUCGGUGGAAUUGGAGGUGUAGCGGUGGAAUGCGUAGAGAUCUCCAAGAACACCAGUUGCGAAGGCGGCCGACUGGACCCAUAUUGACGCUGAGGCUCGAAGCAUGGGGAGCAAACAGG
Molecule: ribosomal RNA, 251 nt
Filed under: uncultured bacterium
Lineage: Bacteria
Description: partial 16S ribosomal RNA
Rfam family: Bacterial small subunit ribosomal RNA
Source: RNAcentral